This 328-nucleotide ribosomal RNA is filed under the name Ariadna sp. 10 MS-2022b. RNAcentral describes it as "partial small subunit ribosomal RNA". Lineage: Eukaryota; Metazoa; Arthropoda; Arachnida; Araneae; Segestriidae. The record is from RNAcentral.
GCACAUUUGCUAACUUAUUCAUGAUUGGGUAUUAUUCAAUAAUUGAGUUCAAAUCCUUUUUUGGAGCUGUGGGUUCAAAGCUAGGCCUUUAAUAGUGUUAAUGGUAACUCACUUUGCCUUUCCUAUGGGCUACACCUUGACCUGAUUUGUUAGAGGGACUGUUGGGAAUGUGUUUUAUAGAGUUAUUCUUAAAACGGCGGUAUAUAGACUCUUAAGGAGAGUGAGAUUUAACGGGUAUUGUCGAUUAUAAAGCAAGUUCCUCUGAUUAGGGCUAAUGCCGCCAAACUACAUAGGUUUUUCUUGGGGAUACUACCUGAUGGGAAAGAUG